This 55-nucleotide transfer RNA is filed under the name Kalicephalus indicus. RNAcentral describes it as "tRNA-Ala". The record is from RNAcentral. Lineage: Eukaryota; Metazoa; Nematoda; Chromadorea; Rhabditida; Diaphanocephalidae.
GGGGUUUUAAUUUAAUUUAAAAUAUACAAUUUGCAUUUGUAAAAUUUAAACUCUA